Molecule: ribosomal RNA, 281 nt
Filed under: uncultured Acholeplasma sp.
Lineage: Bacteria; Bacillati; Mycoplasmatota; Mollicutes; Acholeplasmatales; Acholeplasmataceae
Description: partial 16S ribosomal RNA
Rfam family: Bacterial small subunit ribosomal RNA
Source: RNAcentral
CCCUACUUGCUAGUUACCAUCAUUAAGUUGGGGACGUCUAGCGAGACUGCCAGUGAUAAACUGGAGGAAGGUGGGGGAUGACGUCAAAUCAUCAUGCCCCUUAUGACCUGGGCUACAAACGUGAUACAAUGGCUGGAACAAAGGGAUGCGAAGCAGUGAUGUGGAGCGAAACCCAUAAAAACAGUCUCAGUUCGGAUUGAAGUCUGCAACUCGACUUCAUGAAGUCGGAAUCGCUAGUAAUCGCGGAUCAGAACGCCGCGGUGAAUACGUUCUCGGGGUUU